This 564-nucleotide unclassified non-coding RNA is filed under the name Hevea brasiliensis (rubber tree). Lineage: Eukaryota; Viridiplantae; Streptophyta; Magnoliopsida; Malpighiales; Euphorbiaceae. The record is from RNAcentral.
ACCUUUUGCAUUGCCUAAAACCUGAUCACAACAUUCCAUAAAACACACAAAGUUUAGGCUCAAGAGGGUUGGAAACUAGCCAAUGCAGCAAUGGAAGUAACUCUCCAAAAUUAUAACCACACAGUUGUCUUUGUUAGUUGCAGGUUUCAAUGGGAUUGCAGUUGCACAAGUUAUUACGUAUAAGCAGCAGUAAAACUUAUACAACACUCGGGGAAGACAAACAUGGAGCAGGCCAUUUGGUUUUCGGCUCAAGUUUUAAAUCACACCAAAGAAAUCAAGAAAAAGAACCUUUCUUCAUCUUCUUUAAAUACAACCAUUGACCCAUGAAUUUGGCAACUUUGCAUUAUUUACUAUUAGUAAAUUUAGGAUCAGGAUUCUAAAUACAGCAGCUGAACAAUUAUUCUAUGCAUGAUCAACACAGACUAGACAUUAUUAUAAUUACUGAAAUCAUCAAAUAAUAAGCAUUUCAAUUUCUUCAAAUUCAGCAAUGCAUCCUGCAAUUCACACAAAUAAAUUGGAAAAAAAUAGUGAAGAGGGUAACCAAUGCCAAACCUGGAGUGUUAG